AAAAGUCAGAGUAUCACCAAAGUCAACAGAAUUUUCUCCUCAUGGGAUCUCAAGAGUCUGAAGCAACAUUCAUGGCAAUCCAUCCAAUAGUAUAUUAGUUUAUUUUUAGAAGUAUAACAAGAACUUUGUUUAACACCCAUAUUUGAUUUGAUUAUUUAUAGACAAGAACAAAUUACUAGCUGUGGUGGCCAGCAUGAAAGAGGUGAAGAUAUUGAUCCCAAAACUGGACAUUGCGAAGUUGAAGGAUCCAGCUCACAUUUCCAGGUUAUCAUCUGCGGCUAACUCUGUCAAGCAGCCACUGAAAGAUCAGCCCGUGCGUGUUGCAAACAACCAGAGUCCAACAACGUUCACAAACACAGAAGACAAGACGAAGCCGAGCGAUGCAAAGACCAUUCAGAUGACCUGCUCGCGCUGUAAGAAAAGCAUGAUGAAGGGUCAAACGGCUUUCCAGAAGAAAGGAUUCACAGACGUCUUCUGCUCCAAAAACUGCCUGUUUGAAAUAUUUCCCAUCAACAAACCAGCCGCCAAGACCUGCCAUUACUGUCAAAAGUGAGUCUGUGAAAACUAUCUUGAUUAUGUCAUCAUAUCCAUCUGAGUAAACAUUGUCUUUGUGUCAAAAGCUGAUAGUGUAACAAACUGUUUAUCAUCUCACCUGCUUGUUCUGUCAGGACGAUAUCGCAGCUUCAGGACCUCAUCAUGGCUGCAGUGGACACUAAGGGAACGAUGAAGGACUUCUGCAGUGUGACCUGUUUGUGCUCUUUUAAAUCCAAACCUGAGUCCAGCCAAACGUCACCAUCGGUCUGCAGCAAGUGCUCCAAGUCCUGCACUAUCACAUGUGAGUUCACACUGUACGAAGUUGUCUACAAGUUUUGCAGCGGCUCCUGCUUUGACGACUUCCGUAGGGACAACACGGACAUCUGUGAGAACUGCAGCACCACCUGCACCAAAAAACCACUAAAGCUGAAGCUGGAGGAGGAGACCAUAACCAUCUGCAGUGGCACGUGUCUGGACAAGUUCAUUGAGAAUAAAGACACGCCCUGUCGGUGCACCACCUGCCACAUUUCUCAACCAUGUUCAGACAUGGUUCAUGACAAAAGCAGUGAGAACAUUGUGGAGCUCUUCUGCACUCGCAGCUGUGCGACGUCAUACAGACUCGCAGUUGAAUACAAGCUUCAUGGUAAGAGAGACGAGAUAGCUUCGUUUUUUUCUUGA
This 1212-nucleotide long non-coding RNA is filed under the name Sparus aurata (gilthead seabream). Its description in RNAcentral is "lncRNA (ENSSAUG00010020230.1)". The record is from RNAcentral. Lineage: Eukaryota; Metazoa; Chordata; Actinopteri; Spariformes; Sparidae.